Molecule: transfer RNA, 77 nt
Filed under: Puniceicoccales bacterium
Lineage: Bacteria; Pseudomonadati; Verrucomicrobiota; Opitutia; Puniceicoccales
Description: tRNA-Pro
Rfam family: tRNA
About the family: Transfer RNA (tRNA) molecules are approximately 80 nucleotides in length. Their secondary structure includes four short double-helical elements and three loops (D, anti-codon, and T loops).
Source: RNAcentral
CGGGCUGUGGCGUAGUCUGGUAGCGCGCUUGCAUGGGGUGCAAGAGGUCGAGAGUUCGAAUCUCUCCAGUCCGACCA